This is a long non-coding RNA of Centruroides sculpturatus (bark scorpion), 1172 nucleotides long. RefSeq lists it as uncharacterized. Lineage: Eukaryota; Metazoa; Arthropoda; Arachnida; Scorpiones; Buthidae. The record is from RefSeq and is a predicted model, not a curated record. The transcript is spliced from 3 exons.
AUAUAUUUAAUUUUUUUUUAAAGAGAGAAUUAGUAACUACAAGUAAAAAAGAAAGUGCAGAUAAUGAAGGAAAUUUACAGUUAGAAGAACAAGAGAAAGAGAUAUGUAAUUUAAAAGAAGAAUUGAAAAAAACUAAAGAUGAACUGAAUUUAGCAAAAAUAGAUUUAGAUGCAAUUAGAGAGCAAUCCAAAGGACUUUCUCGAGAAUAUGAUCGUUUACUAGAAGAAUAUAAUGAAACACAGAGUCAAUUGGAGCAGUUAACUGGAAUAAAAGAAGAUAAAAAAGAAAACUGAGUUUGCAACAAAGAAAUUUAAAAUUUUUCUCCAAAGUGCUUGGAAAGUAAUAGUGCUAGAAUUUCUCUGUUUAUGAAUAUUUACAAAAAAUAUUGUAAAAUAUUUUUUAUAAUCUCUUAUCUAAAAAUUGAAAUAAUUUGUUAAAAAUUGUGAGAUAUUUAUUUUUAGUUGUACUUUAUCAGAAUCUGGUAAAAUUUUGUUUAUUGUUUAAAUUGUCAUUUUAAAUCUGCUCUUUAUUUACUUGUUAUUAAGGCGGUUAGUUGUCAUGUCAUUUGAAUGUUGUUUCUUUAAUUUGGUUUUACAAAGACAUGAAGAAUUUUAUUUAUUAUAAGUUGAAUGGAAUGAAACUUGUUUAAUAUACAGGUAGCCCUUGGUUUACGCCGAUUCACAAUAAUGCUGCUGCACAAUUUGCUGUUUCACUGUGUAAUUCCCUGAUUUUUCCUAUGCUAGAUUUGACUAGGUUUUGUCCAGAUUUGACCAAUUUUAGCAAGACACGUGUCCACUACAACAACACGUGUCAUGGUAGAAUUGUGGCUCGUUGGGAUUGGUCAGAUCUAGAUCAAUAGAAAAUGUUCCACAAACCAUUUGAUUUGAAUGAGCUGCAGACCCAACAUAGAGCUACAGAAGAACAAUGAAGAAGAAACACCAAGAGUUAUGAAAACCGCCAAUCUAAAGCGUAUCCUUUCAACUAUGGAAAGUUUGACAGAUGAACUUUGUGAGUUAGGCAAUGAUUGGGAGCAUCAUCACAUCCAUUUGACCAUAUUCUGAAAUUCUUAAUGAAAUAAAACAAAAAUGUAAACAAUUAAAGAUGGAUACUUUUUUCCGAAAAAUGUAAGUGAUCCGAAACUAAAAUUUUUUAAUAAAAAUAUUUCACUUUAU